UACGGGGGGGGCAAGCGUUGUUCGGAAUUACUGGGCGUAAAGGGCGCGUAGGCGGUUCGCUAAGUCGGAUGUGAAAACUCUGGGCUCAACCCAGAGCCUGCAUCCGAAACUGGCGGGCUAGAGUUCUGGAGGGGGUAGCGGAAUUCCUGGUGUAGCGGUGAAAUGCGUAGAUAUUAGGAAGAACACCGAUAGCGAAAGCACUCUGCUGGGCCUGAACUGACACUGAGAGACGAAAGCUAGGGGAGCAAAAAGG
Molecule: ribosomal RNA, 253 nt
Filed under: uncultured bacterium
Lineage: Bacteria
Description: partial 16S ribosomal RNA
Rfam family: Bacterial small subunit ribosomal RNA
Source: RNAcentral